Molecule: long non-coding RNA, 5898 nt
Organism: Etheostoma cragini (Arkansas darter)
Lineage: Eukaryota; Metazoa; Chordata; Actinopteri; Perciformes; Percidae
Exons: 2
Source: RefSeq, a predicted model, not a curated record
UCAUAAAAUAAGACCUUCCAACACACACAGACACACACACACACACCAUCCUUGCACUAACACAGAACCGCGCAGGCAGCCACCAACCAAGCAUCCAAUUAGAUCGUAGCGAUGCAGCCUCUUUCCGAGCUGAGGGGAGGCGGGAAGCUGCGAAAAAGAGACAUUAGAAGACGUAAUCUGGAGAUGGACGAACAGUGUAUGUGUGUAAGGAGAGAGAGAGAGAGAGAGAGAGAGAGAGAGAAACAAAGUCUACCCUCAAUUCAAAAAUCUGAAAGGGUCAGUUUAGAUUGAGUGUAAUCUGUAAACACUGUUCAAUCUGUGAUGCUGUGCUUACUGUAUGCAACCGCCUGUCUAAGUGUGUGCAUGUCAGUGAAGGUUGUUAUAGUUAAGACUUGGACUUCAUCCAGCCAUGAAGAGUUUAAAAGUACAAACCCUGCGUUCAAAACCACAUAGUGUAAUGGCAAAGUUCAAUUUUUCCAGACGUUCUAAAAAUUUCAAAAAGCUACAAUUAAGCUGGGAAUGCAUUGUAUGUACAAUGAUACUUAACUACGACUGUGGCUAUGAACGUAGUUCAUCAGUUGCUUUAUGUUUUCAAAAUUAAAUUAGAAUAUGCGAAACAGCCAACAACCUUUUAAAUACAUUGUUUACAUUAUCAAAAAGUAUUUUAAAAAAGCAAAAGUGAACACUUAUUAAAACAUUUAAAACGUAUCCAAAUCUCAUAUAUAUGACUGUUUUUUCCUGUGAGGGUGCUUGUUUUAGUAUGUAGCAGCAUUUAUAGUUCAGGUGUUUGAAAUGUGAAAUGGAUCGUUCAAAAGACGCUUUAUCACGGUUUUUGCUGUGACUUAUGUGAGAAGAAAGAUACCACAUUCAUGUCUGUCUUUGAAAUAUGAAGCUACAGCUUAGCUUAUUUUAGCAUAAAGACCAGAAACAGCUAGCCUUGUUUUUACACUUGGGUUAAUAUAGGGAUUCAAUUAAUGAGAUAUUUUUUGUUAAUUAGUUUUUAGAGGUUGUGGUUGGAAGAUUUUGUUUCCUUUGGACAUAGCCAGGCUCAAAAUUUCUCGUCUUUUUGCCAAGCUCAUCUGCUGAGAUAACCACUUUAUAUUUACUAUACAAACCUAAGAGGAAUAGCAUUCUUUUCAUUGAACUCGCGGAAAAAAGGCAAAUGGAAUACUAUUCAUUUAAAGUCCCUAUAGCUCAAUAACUAAUUACAGUUACCAAGUUACCAUCUUUUGCCUCUUUUGCCAUGAAGUCGCUGUAUUUGAAACUAAACUGUAAGUCAAACUUAAAGGCCAGGACAGUCACUGUUCCUCAGCUGGAGGACAUGUAUGCAUUCCCUUUACUCUUACACAGAUAAUGAUAUCAUGUUUCAAAGGUAAAAGAAAAAAAACUACUAUUUUAGAACAUUAUAUUUAAAGUUGAUUUUCAUAAGAAAAAGCCAAUAUUUGCCUUUAGCUUAUAAUCAUAGCAAGAUAUAUUUAGAGAACAUUUAGAUGGGAAAGGUAAAGCAAUGCUUUCUAUACUAUGGAUGUUCCUUGUCCAUAGGUUCUCUUUUCAUCAAUGGGACCAGAUAGUAUAGAGGUCUGCUGUACGAGCUGGCUAGAGAUGUAAAUAUACCAAUAAUAUAUUAGAAGAAAAUAUAGCAGAAAUAAUAUAUUGACCUGCAGUGUGUGUGUGUGUGUGUUCCAUAGAGGACACUCAAAUUUCCACUGUACGUUCAAUUUCACCAUGUCUGGAUUUUGUAACUUUAGACCCUGAUUUUAUGUAAAUUUGAUUUGAUCUGAAAUGGUGGUGAUAAUAACUUAAGCACUUAAAGUACAUCAAUUUGGACUACAUUAGAAAAGUAUAUUUGGAGAAAUCAUAUUGGGUAUUAUAAUUACUCAGUUGAAAUGUUGUGUUGUGUGACACAAAGAGACAAACACUAAACUGUUCUUGCCAUUUCGUUUGUUGCACAGAAAGUAACUGACCAGCUUGGGAUUUGUCCCUGUAUGAGGGGUUAAACUAUGACCUCUGGAAAUGAACAUAAGACAUAAAUGAGAUAAAGAACAGAAAGACAAUGUGGCAUGUGAUAAUAAAACAUGUCAUUCUAAAAAACUGUACAUAAAGUAGAUUGUGACAAGGAUCUCUAAUGAACACAACGGCUCAUAACCCACUGACUAUGCCAUUACCGCCAUGCAACAACAUAGCUAGCACGACUGUUGAAACUAAUCUACUAUACCUGCUCUUUUGAACACUGUGUCUCUUUUUCCCCCCGCAUUAAAGCCUUAGCGGACUUUGUGUUUACCCCAAAAACUUUUAACAACUGUGAGUAAUUGUGUGUUUGUGUAUAAAAGCGGAGACAGACGCUGGCACACACAUCAAGUUAAUGUUAACGGCUCUCACUUUUUAAGAGUGCUUUUAUUCUGGAAUUUGCAAAGGACUAGUCUAUGGAUCUACUUCUGCCCCCAUCUUUGUUGUCGUCAAAGCUGUAGGCUCCAAAAAAUGAACCAACAACAUAAAAAUUGAUCAGUGUACGACUAAUCAUUUCUCCCAGCCCUGUUCCACUCAAGACCCCAGUGCCAACGGCCAAGACUUAUUUAGAUUACUGUUUCUGUGAUCUGUUUUUUCUCUCUUUUUUUUUUUUUUAUUAUUGCUCGCCGUGUAUUGUAGUGUUGGACUGAUUUGUAUCCUAUGCAUUUACGUCUGUAGGAGAACUUUGCACUGUAACAUAUCCUCAAAUCACUUAAUCUAAAGAACUGAACUCUUAAAUUGUGACAAGUCAGGGUAUCUGACAAGAUCUUGACAUUCCUGUGUUGAAUCUGCAUGACGGACAUGCGAGUGGCACUUGAUAAGAAGAAAGUGUGCAGUUUGGGAAAGAUAAUAUAUGCUAGUAACCCAAUGUUCACUGUUUAGAAUUUGUAAGACAGACUAUAAAUCAAAGCAAACACUCAAUAGUUUGUUAAUGCCUGCAAUUGCGUGGCGAAGUUUACAAAUCGUCAACAUGUUUCUUUGCAUAACAUCCAGUUAAUCUAGGCCAGAUCAAGCUUUUUAUUGCACUGUUAAAGGAAUAAUCCACCCUUAAAUACCUGAACACUGUUCUUUAUGCCAUAUGGGCACAUUUUGCAGUUCAGAAUGAAAUAUCUCAUAACUUUUGGAUUGAUUGCCAUGACGUUUUGUAUCCAAAUAUAUGGUCGCCAAAGAUGACUUUGGUGAUCCCCUGAUCUUUCCUCCAGCGCAACCAACAGGUUGACGUUUGUUUUUUAUUGUAAAAUGUCUCCACAACUAUUGGAUGGAUUGCCAUGAAAUUUGGUACAGAAAUUCAUGGCCCUGUUCGGAUGAAUUACAAUAACCUUAGUGAUUUCUCUGACUUUCUAUUUAGUGCCCUCAUCAAGUUUUUAUUUGUCCAAUACUUUAGUGUUUGACCAAAUUCUUGCAUACCAACAACACUUCAGUAAUUUAUAGUUUGUGUUUGGUGCCAAUUAGCAAAUGUUAGCAUACUAACAUGCUAAACUUAGACGGCAUACAUGGCAAUUAUUAUACCGGUAUUGUAAACAACAGCAUAUUAGCUUUGUUAUUGUAAACAUGUUAGUCUGCUGAGUUAGCAUUUAGCUUAAAGCACCACUGUGCCUAAAUGCAGUCAGUAGUUUUUUUCUAUAAGUUUUUGUCCCUUAAGAAUCCAAGAGAAAGGGCAUAUUUUAAACUGUAAACUUUUUUUGUAGUUUUGCACCGACUUCUAACAUUUACGGAGAAAUUAAUCACUCAAGCGUCUCUGAGUGUAGAUUUAAACUGAAAUUGAUCCACAACACAUGCUUAGUUAAGGUAUUAUCAAAUUAUAUACAAAAAACUGUAGAAUGCAGCACUUAAUCAUAAAAUAUAUCCAAUAUCCAUGUACUGAUAUUUCAGAUUGAUAAUGUCCAACAGUGUCAGAGUGUUUCUGGGUGGAUCUUCCCUUCAACGUCCAGACUAGCCCUUGCUAGGCCUGACCCCGAGUGAAGCGGUUCCUGCCCUCCUAUAGCUUGAGCCUAUUGAACACAAAGUAUGACUAUACUGCAUUCAUCACAGAGCUGAACGGAGAGCAUUUUGUCAGGCAAAGGGAGGCAGUUGAACUUACUGCUAUGACCUGUGGGUAAUGGUCCUUACCAGCGUUAAAAUGGAUGUUUAUCGACCCCCGACUUGCCACUCCCAAUUUUCAGUGAAGAGCUUUGUUGACUUUACAAACCCACAUGCAGAUCUUAGCAUGCGAUUCCAUAGCUGUACAAAAGAUCAGCAAGGGAGGAUUUGGACCAUUGUAUUUUCUUUCAUCUUCUCUUUUCAUUUGAAAUGUUUUGGAAUAGCAAUUUGUGAAUUUAAAUGUAUGUGACCAAGUGACUUUUAUUUUUUCUCUCUCUCAGAAUUUCAGUAAACAGUGGACUCAUGUUAACAAUGUUAUGGUAGUUUGUCAGUAGUUUGUCCAUGCAAUAUCUGUAAACAUCAAAAAGAAAAGAAAUCCAGCUGAGAGAUGCUCUAUAUUCUCCUGGUUGCAUUCACUGGAGUAUUAAAAGUUCUGCAUCAAAAUGUGGCUGUGAUGCACCUUUCUCUAUUUGUUUUAUAUUUAACAUCCACUUCUUGUGUCCUACUCCUCUAAAGUCAACCCCCAUACAUGUCACCAUGGUAACCAUGGCACAGACCCUCUGACGUCAUUACCAGGUGGAUUAUGUGUUUAACGUUUUCGGUAGCCAAUCGGCACAUAAUAUAUCAACAUAUCAGUCACAACGAUGAUGUCAAAUUUGGAUUUCCUUAUACCAGUACAUAUCAACUUAGUAAAUGCUGCAAAAUUAUAAACCUACUAAAAUAUGUAAUUCUUUAGAGUAUAGAUGAAGUAGGAAAUGAAGAGGCAGAUAUGUGAAGGUAUUCAGCAUGUAAUGUUAACCGUUGAUUGAAAUUGAUACAAACAAAAGUAUAAUUUUCCCUUAAUGAGAAGACUGUUUGUGGUUGUUUUUUUCUUCAUUUUUAUUAUUUUGUAAAUAUGUAUUUUGAAUAUAUAUCACUGUGUUUGUUUUGAACUUGAUUAAUUUAUUUAUGCCUAUAUAUUGUUGUUUUUAUGUCCCCUGAUUUUGUUUAACUAACUGGAAACAAAUCAAGGGGGUGAAAACGUGUUGCUUAUUUAAUGUUAAGCAGACCAUGUUUCAACACUUUUACAAUUCAUGUUAUUCUCUUCAUUUAUGUUUUGCUGUUUUGCCUUUGGGUGAUGAUUUUACAAAAGUGAUAUUCAUUUCAUUGUAUUUACUGAUAUGUAACCUAUUAUGUUUAACUGUGUCGUAUUUAAUCAGAUGUGUUGUGGUCACCGCUCGUGAAAAUGAUUUCAUUCAGAGUUUCCGAAUCAUGACAAAAGAUCAAAGCAGUCACAAAGUCGUAAUCUGCCUUUUUGUCCAUAUGAGACAUGUUGUCACGUGCACACUUUACCAAAAGAAGGAAGUAUAGCGUCUUGAAAUGUUGAGCUAGGUGCGUGUUGAAAGUUUAAGAAAUGUUGACCCCAGAUUUGUAGUACAGCCUUUAUUACCAGAUUGUUAGCAAUGUUUUCAUGAAAAGUAUUUUCGGAUUGUACUCACUUUAUAAAAAGAUAACCCAUUGGAUAUAAAAACAAUAAGCAGUCUCUCUAGUUUGUAUGGAGUCCCAAAGGGUUUGAUGUUAGAUGAAUAAAUAAGUUAUUCUAAAAAUAGCCACAUGAAUAAAUUGUGUAAAACAACUAAUUUAGCAAUGGUUGUUGAGCAAAGAAACAAACGUUAGCCUCUUAGCUUUUGUUAGCUAGAGCAAAAUGUCCAAGUAAUUCUGAUUCUGUCCAACUGUAAAUAAAGGCAGUACAAAGACACUGAAACUAACAUUUUUAUUAGCCUAACAAGCUCCACAUGCUACUUACCUACAACCAGCUAACUAGCUAGAAGA